Molecule: RNA transcript, 3915 nt
Organism: Dromaius novaehollandiae (emu)
Lineage: Eukaryota; Metazoa; Chordata; Aves; Casuariiformes; Dromaiidae
Gene: RPS6KB2
Gene name: ribosomal protein S6 kinase B2
Exons: 16
Source: RefSeq, a predicted model, not a curated record
CCCGCGCGGCCGCGCCCCGCCUCCCAGCGUGCCCCGCGGCGCGGCGCGGCGCGGAGAGGAUGCCGCGGGGUGUCCCUCGGUGACGCGGGGCGCGCGCGCGGCGCGGCGGUGACGCGGCGGUGACGCGGCGGGCGGGGCGGGCCCGGCCCGUCCCGCCGGGGAUCCCGGUGCGGCGGCGGCGUCAUGGCCGGGGUGUUCGACAUCGACCUGGAGACGGAGGAGGGCAGCGACGGGGACGAGCCCGAGCUGGGCGCCGAGAUGGAGCUGGAGCCACGAGGGAAUGGCCUGGAGCCUGUGGGGCACUAUGAGGAGAUUGAGAUCUCGGAGAGCAGCGUCAACAACGGCCCUGAGCACAUCGGUCCGCACUGCUUUGAGCUGCUCCGCGUCCUGGGCAAGGGCGGCUACGGCAAGGUAUUCCAGGUCCGCAAAGUGCAGGGCACCAACAUGGGCAAGAUCUUUGCCAUGAAGGUCCUGAAGAAGGCCAAGAUUGCCUGCAACGCCAAGGACACGGCGCACACGCGGGCCGAGAGGAACAUCCUGGAGGCCGUCAAGCACCCCUUCAUCGUCGACCUCAUGUACGCCUUCCAGACGGGCGGCAAGCUCUAUCUCAUCCUGGAGUGCCUCAGCGGUGGAGAACUCUUCAUGCAACUUGAGCGGGAGGGCAUCUUUCUAGAGGACACUGCCUGUUUCUACCUUAGCGAGAUCACGUUGGCGCUGGGCCACCUGCACUCCAAUGGCAUCAUCUACCGAGACCUCAAGCCAGAGAACAUCAUGCUCAACAGCCAAGGCCACAUCAAGCUGACAGACUUUGGGCUGUGCAAAGAGUCGAUCCACGAUGGGGCUGUCACACACACCUUCUGUGGCACCAUCGAGUACAUGGCCCCGGAGAUCCUGGUCCGCAGCGGGCACAACCGGGCGGUGGACUGGUGGAGCCUGGGCGCCCUGAUGUACGACAUGCUCACAGGAUCGCCCCCCUUCACAGCCGAGAACCGCAAGAAAACCAUCGACAAAAUCCUCAAGGGCAAGCUGGUGCUGCCGCCCUACCUGACGCCUGAUGCCCGGGACCUGCUCAAGAAGUUCCUCAAGCGAAACCCCAGCCAGCGGGUUGGGGGGGGCCCGGGCGAUGCAGCUGAUGUGCAGAAGCAGCCCUUCUUCCGCCACAUCAACUGGGACGACCUCCUGGCCCGCAAGCUCGACCCCCCCUUCAAGCCCUGCCUGCAGUCGGAGGAGGACGUAAGCCAGUUCGACACCCGCUUCACCCGCCAGACGCCUGUGGACAGCCCUGACGACGCGGCCAUCAGCGAGAGUGCCAACCAGGCUUUCCUGUUCCCCCCAGGGCUUCACCUAUGUGGCCCCAUCGGUGCUGGAGAGCAUCAAGGAAGGGUUCUCCUUCCAGCCCAAGGUGCGCUCACCCCGGCGCCUCAACAGCAGCCCCCGCACACCUGUCAGCCCUGUGAAGUUCUCGCCCUUCGAGCCCUUCAAGGUGGGCGCCGCAGCAGAGCCCAUGGAGCUGGGGCCCAGCUUGCCCCCCCCGCCUGAGGGCACGGCCCCGCUGCCCAUCAAGACCGCAGCCAAGAAGCAGAAGGGGGGCCGGGGGCGGGUGCCCAGGCGGCCGUCCCGGAGAAGGCGUGGAGGUCGCUGAGCAGGGCCUCAGCGCUGCCCCCUGCCGCCUGCUCUGCCAACGGGGGGCUCCCGUCCAGGUCUGGGGGCUCUGCGCUUGGUGUGCCAUCUGCCUCCACGCCCGGAGCUGCCAUGGCCUCCUCUUCCUCCUCCUCCUCCUCCUCCUGCUUGUCCUCCUCCUCUUCGUCCUCCUCAUCCUGCCGGGGCUGGUCCUGGGGCCACGGCAUCAGCUCCUCCUCCUCGUCGCGGGGUGGCCCCACCUCGUCCCUGUCCCCAUCGGGGUCCUGCGCCCCGGGGUGGCCAUGUCCCCGCAGGCGUCUCCAGCGGCCCCGCAGCAGCGCCAGGGCCCGGCGGCCCAGGGGCCGGGGGUGGUAGCGCCCGGCAGAGAGGCGGCACAGGUGGUGCCAGGCCAGGGCCAGCCCCACAGCCAGGCACAGCAGGAUGCCCAGCAGGGCCCCCACGACCCGGUCGCUGCGGCUGCUUGCCAGCUCCGAGGCGGCCACCAGGCCCGGCAGCACCAGCAGCGCCAGCCCCGGGGGCUGCAGGCACCGCCACGCUGCAGCCUGUGGGGCAGCAGCACUGGGUCAGGCAGCUUGGCACCGUGCCCAGCUCCUCCCGCCAGCCCGGGCCAUGGGGUUUCCCCACACAGUGCCAGUCUCCCAGUCCCUUCCCCGUCCCGGAAAGAGGGGCAGGCCCCAGGGCAAAGGGCAGUGGGACUGGGGGAAUGGGGAUGCGGCGUCACACACGACGGCCCCUGUUGCUGCCCCCCCACAGGCGUCACGCCCGGGCAGGUGGCCGCGCCAGCCCCAUGUGACGGGAAACUGUGGUCGGCUGCAGCGCCUGCAGGUGCAGGGGGAGAGGGGCCGGGCCUGCCGCCCCCACACAGCCCCAUGGUGCCUGCACAGCCCCCAGCUCUGCACAGCCCUGCAAGCUGCCCGCCCUGUGCAGCUCCACAUGCCUGCAGUGCCACAGCCCUACGUCAUUUGUCACCCCACCCAGACCCACGGUAGCUGUGUGGUCCCAAGCCCUGUACAAUUCCCCCUCCUCCAGCCAUGCCCUGCAAAGCUCUGUAGCCCUGCGCACCCUAUUACCCUGCCCCAUAGUGCCUGCAAGGCCAUGAUGCUGCAAUGUCCCACACAGCUGCACAGUGCCUGCCCGAAUUUGCUACCACCCCCCCACCAGCAGCUCCAGAAGCACUGGCUCAGCCACUAACCCUGCGCACCCCCCCCCGGCCCCACAGAGCUCUAAAGCCCCUGCCCUCGUCUCGUAGCACUGCCUGGCCCCACAGAGCCCGAUGGCAUCUGCAUGUUCCCCCCCCCCCCCCCAGUAGCACCUGCGCAGCCCCAUAGCAAAGGCCUCAAAGCCUGCACAGCACCAUAGGGCUGCCCCCACAUCCCUGCACACCCUAUAGCAGAGGCACAGCGAACCCUACCCGCCCCCCCCCCCCCCGGGGGCUCCUUAGGGUGCAGGAGGUACACUAGAAGCACGCCCCCCCCCCCCAACCUUACAAUCCCAUUCUCGGAGAAGGAGUCCAGGCUCUUCCCAUGCACCGCCCCCCCCCCCCCCCAAAAAAAAGAAAAUCCACCCUCUCGCCAACCCGCUUUCAGGAUGCUCACCAUUGCCAGGCGCUGCUGGAGUAGGUCCUGGUGCCGUGGGAGCUGCGCUGUUGGGGGGGGUUGCCCUCCCCAGCAUAUCCGGCUCGACGUGCAGCGGAUGUAUCGGGGCGGGGGGAAGCGGGGGGGGGGGGGGGAUGGGUGCUGCCCGCCUACCCGAAAUGCACCCGGGGAUGCGAGGCGGGGGGUGUGAGGUGAUGUGCUAUAGCUGUUGCAGCCUGUGACCGGGCCUUGGCCCGGGGUGGGGGGCAGGUUGGGGUGGGUCCUGCCUCCCCAGCUCAUGCUGGUUCUGGGUUGGGAUGGGAAGCCCUAGCCUGGCUGGGGGGGACCAGCAGCCUCCCCGGAAUGUGAGGGCCCCCCCCACAGCACUGUUUCCUGCCCAAGGCAAGAGCGGGUGCCUGUGACCGCUGUGCCUUCCUGCUCCCCUUGCCUGGGGGGGCUGCGGAGGAACCAGUCCCUGCCUGGUCCCACUGUGGGAGGGGGACACGCAGGCCUCCCUGCCCCAAAAACCACGCAGGGGCCUGAGGCCCCCAGGAUGUGCUGAGGGAGCUCUGGCCCCAUAGCGAACCCCUCUAACCCUUGCGGUGCCUCAUGACCCUGGGCUGCCCCCAGCCCCCCUACUCAGCAAACAUCUUUCUUAUAAAGACCUUUAUUUGGAGUGAAAAUAUAGAUUUUUACCCUG